Molecule: ribosomal RNA, 508 nt
Filed under: Chloromantis rhombica
Lineage: Eukaryota; Metazoa; Arthropoda; Insecta; Mantodea; Nanomantidae
Description: partial 16S ribosomal RNA
Rfam family: Bacterial large subunit ribosomal RNA
Source: RNAcentral
CUUGAUAAUAAUAAGAGAUUUGGCCUGCCCACUGAAAAUUUUUUGAAGGGCCGCAGUAUUUUGACUGUGCAAAGGUAGCAUAAUCAUUAGUCUUUUAAUUAAGGGCUGGUAUGAAUGGUUGGACGAAGUAAAUACUGUUUUAUAUUAAUUGUAAUUGAAUUUAGUAUUUAAGUAAAAAUACUUAAAUAAUUUUAAGGGACGAGAAGACCCUAUAGAGUUUAAUAUUUAUAGUUUUAAUUGAGUUAAAGUGUAAUUUUUGGUUAAUUAUGAAGAAUAUUUGAUUGGGGUGAUAAGAAGAUAAAUUUAACUCUUUUUUGUAGUAAAUAAUUUGUUUAGUUAAAUGAUCCGUUAUUUAGUGAUUAUAAGAUUAAAUUACCUUAGGGAUAACAGCAUAAUUCUUUUUGAGAGUUCAUAUUGAAAAAGGAGAUUGUGACCUCGAUGUUGGAUUAAGAUAAAAUUUGGGUGUAGAAGCUUAAUUAUUAGGUCUGUUCGACCUUUAAAUUCUUAC